This is a long non-coding RNA of Triticum aestivum (bread wheat), 189 nucleotides long. RefSeq lists it as uncharacterized. The record is from RefSeq and is a predicted model, not a curated record. NCBI's taxonomy places the organism in Eukaryota, Viridiplantae, Streptophyta, Magnoliopsida, Poales, Poaceae. The transcript is spliced from 2 exons.
AGGAUUCUCAGUGGUCUCAUGCCUCUCUGUCAGGAUUCUCCCAAUUUGAAAGAGGAAACGAGUCCCUAAGACCGCUCUUUGGAAUUCCAAUAUAGAUGAAGAUAGAAGUGAAAUUUGAGGGCCAACAAAUAUGUUGUAUCGUGGAUAUCUCCCUUUACAUCAUUGUUUUAUGAAAUGCACUAACGCUCC